RNAcentral lists this ribosomal RNA (393 nucleotides) under uncultured bacterium. RNAcentral's name for it is "partial 16S ribosomal RNA". It matches the Rfam family "Bacterial small subunit ribosomal RNA", at positions 523 to 918 of the family's 1533-position model. The record is from RNAcentral.
AUACGGAGGAUCCGAGCGUUAUCCGGAUUUAUUGGGUUUAAAGGGAGCGUAGAUGGAUGUUUAAGUCAGUUGUGAAAGUUUGCGGCUCAACCGUAAAAUUGCAGUUGAUACUGGAUAUCUUGAGUGCAGUUGAGGCAGGCGGAAUUCGUGGUGUAGCGGUGAAAUGCUUAGAUAUCACGAAGAACUCCGAUUGCGAAGGCAGCCUGCUAAGCUGCAACUGACAUUGAGGCUCGAAAGUGUGGGUAUCAAACAGGAUUAGAUACCCUGGUAGUCCACACGGUAAACGAUGAAUACUCGCUGUUUGCGAUAUACUGCAAGCGGCCAAGCGAAAGCGUUAAGUAUUCCACCUGGGGAGUACGCCGGCAACGGUGAAACUCAAAGGAAUUGACGGGG